RNAcentral lists this ribosomal RNA (890 nucleotides) under Salmonella enterica subsp. enterica serovar Muenster. RNAcentral's name for it is "partial 23S ribosomal RNA". It matches the Rfam family "Bacterial large subunit ribosomal RNA", at positions 290 to 1190 of the family's 2925-position model. Lineage: Bacteria; Pseudomonadati; Pseudomonadota; Gammaproteobacteria; Enterobacterales; Enterobacteriaceae. The record is from RNAcentral.
GGGAGGAGCCCAGAGCCUGAAUCAGCAUGUGUGUUAGUGGAAGCGUCUGGAAAGGCGCGCGAUACAGGGUGACAGCCCCGUACACAAAAGCGCAUGUGCUGUGAGCUCGAUGAGUAGGGCGGGACACGUGGUAUCCUGUCUGAAUAUGGGGGGACCAUCCUCCAAGGCUAAAUACUCCUGACUGACCGAUAGUGAACCAGUACCGUGAGGGAAAGGCGAAAAGAACCCCGGCGAGGGGAGUGAAAAAGAACCUGAAACCGUGUACGUACAAGCAGUGGGAGCACCCUUUGGGGUGUGACUGCGUACCUUUUGUAUAAUGGGUCAGCGACUUAUAUUCUGUAGCAAGGUUAACCGUAUAGGGGAGCCGGAGGGAAACCGAGUCUUAAUUGGGCGUUAAGUUGCAGGGUAUAGACCCGAAACCCGGUGAUCUAGCCAUGGGCAGGUUGAAGGUUGGGUAACACUAACUGGAGGACCGAACCGACUAAUGUUGAAAAAUUAGCGGAUGACCUGUGGCUGGGGGUGAAAGGCCAAUCAAACCGGGAGAUAGCUGGUUCUCCCCGAAAGCUAUUUAGGUAGCGCCUCGUGAACUCAUCUCCGGGGGUAGAGCACUGUUUCGGCUAGGGGGCCAUCCCGGCUUACCAACCCGAUGCAAACUGCGAAUACCGGAGAAUGUUAUCACGGGAGACACACGGCGGGUGCUAACGUCCGUCGUGAAGAGGGAAACAACCCAGACCGCCAGCUAAGGUCCCAAAGUCAUGGUUAAGUGGGAAACGAUGUGGGAAGGCCCAGACAGCCAGGAUGUUGGCUUAGAAGCAGCCAUCAUUUAAAGAAAGCGUAAUAGCUCACUGGUCGAGUCGGCCUGCGCGGAAGAUGUAACGGGGCUAAACCAU